GAGAUGUGGGUUAGUCCGCACGAGCGCACCUCACUUUUAGUUGCCAUCAUUAAGUUGGGCACUCUGAAAGAACUGCCAGUGAUAAGCUGGAGGAAGGUGGGGAUGACGUCAAGUCCUCAUGGCCCUUACGUGUUGGGCUACACACGUGCUACAAUGGUAUCUACAACAGGAAGCAAGACUGCGAAGUUAAGCAAAUCCCUAAAAGAUACCUCAGUUCGGAUUGCACUCUGCAACUCGAGUGCAUGAAGCUGGAAUUACUAGUAAUCGUAGAUCAGCGUGCUACGGUGAAUGCGUUCCCGGGUCUUGUACACACCGCCCGUCACACCAUGGGAGUUGGUUCUACCUUAAGGCAAGGUUUCAAACCCUUGACCACGGUAUAGACAGCGACUGGGGUGAAGUCGUAACAAGGUAGCCGUAGGGGAACCUGCGGCUGGAUUACCUCCUUUCU
This 448-nucleotide ribosomal RNA is filed under the name uncultured Pelagibacterales bacterium. RNAcentral describes it as "bacterial SSU rRNA". It matches the Rfam family "Bacterial small subunit ribosomal RNA", at positions 1071 to 1533 of the family's 1533-position model. The record is from RNAcentral. Lineage: Bacteria; Pseudomonadati; Pseudomonadota; Alphaproteobacteria; Candidatus Pelagibacterales.